RNAcentral lists this ribosomal RNA (474 nucleotides) under uncultured bacterium. RNAcentral's name for it is "bacterial SSU rRNA". It matches the Rfam family "Bacterial small subunit ribosomal RNA", at positions 335 to 799 of the family's 1533-position model. The record is from RNAcentral.
ACUCCUACGGGAGGCAGCAGUGGGGAAUUUUGGACAAUGGGGGCAACCCUGAUCCAGCAAUGCCGCGUGAGUGAAGAAGGCCCUCGGGUUGUAAAGCUCUUUUGUCAGGGAAGAAACGGUGAUCUCUAAUAUAGAUUGCUAAUGACGGUACCUGAAGAAUAAGCACCGGCUAACUACGUGCCAGCAGCCGCGGUAAUACGUAGGGGUGCAAGCGUUAAUCGGAAUUACUGGGCGUAAAGCGUGCGCAGGCGGUUUUGUAAGUCUGAUGUGAAAUCCCCGGGGCUCAACCUGGGAACUGCAUUGGAGACUGCAAGGCUAGAGUGUGUCAGAGGGGGUAGAAUUCCACGUGUAGCAGUGAAAUGCGUAGAGAUGUGGAGGAAUACCGAUGGCGAAGGCAGCCCCCUGGGAUAACACUGACGCUCAUGCACGAAAGCGUGGGGAGCAAACAGGAUUAGAUACCCUGGUAGGAUAGCG